AAGAGACAGCAGUCGCCGCGGUAAUACAGAGGGUGCGAGCGUUAAUCGGAUUUACUGGGCGUAAAGCGUGCGUAGGCGGCUUUUUAAGUCGGAUGUGAAAUCCCUGAGCUUAACUUAGGAAUUGCAUUCGAUACUGGGAAGCUAGAGUAUGGGAGAGGAUGGUAGAAUUCCAGGUGUAGCGGUGAAAUGCGUAGAGAUCUGGAGGAAUACCGAUGGCGAAGGCAGCCAUCUGGCCUAAUACUGACGCUGAGGUACGAAAGCAUGGGGAGCAAACAGGAUUAGAGACCCGAGUAGUCCCUGUCUCUUAUAC
This 310-nucleotide ribosomal RNA is filed under the name uncultured bacterium. Its description in RNAcentral is "partial 16S ribosomal RNA". It matches the Rfam family "Bacterial small subunit ribosomal RNA", at positions 503 to 807 of the family's 1533-position model. The record is from RNAcentral.